This 618-nucleotide ribosomal RNA is filed under the name Enterococcus faecalis. Its description in RNAcentral is "bacterial SSU rRNA". It matches the Rfam family "Bacterial small subunit ribosomal RNA", at positions 61 to 650 of the family's 1533-position model. Lineage: Bacteria; Bacillati; Bacillota; Bacilli; Lactobacillales; Enterococcaceae. The record is from RNAcentral.
GUCGAACGCUUCUUUCCUCCCGAGUGCUUGCACUCAAUUGGAAAGAGGAGUGGCGGACGGGUGAGUAACACGUGGGUAACCUACCCAUCAGAGGGGGAUAACACUUGGAAACAGGUGCUAAUACCGCAUAACAGUUUAUGCCGCAUGGCAUAAGAGUGAAAGGCGCUUUCGGGUGUCGCUGAUGGAUGGACCCGCGGUGCAUUAGCUAGUUGGUGAGGUAACGGCUCACCAAGGCCACGAUGCAUAGCCGACCUGAGAGGGUGAUCGGCCACACUGGGACUGAGACACGGCCCAGACUCCUACGGGAGGCAGCAGUAGGGAAUCUUCGGCAAUGGACGAAAGUCUGACCGAGCAACGCCGCGUGAGUGAAGAAGGUUUUCGGAUCGUAAAACUCUGUUGUUAGAGAAGAACAAGGACGUUAGUAACUGAACGUCCCCUGACGGUAUCUAACCAGAAAGCCACGGCUAACUACGUGCCAGCAGCCGCGGUAAUACGUAGGUGGCAAGCGUUGUCCGGAUUUAUUGGGCGUAAAGCGAGCGCAGGCGGUUUCUUAAGUCUGAUGUGAAAGCCCCCGGCUCAACCGGGGAGGGUCAUUGGAAACUGGGAGACUUGAGUGCA